This 1951-nucleotide long non-coding RNA is filed under the name Phascolarctos cinereus (koala). RNAcentral describes it as "lncRNA (ENSPCIG00000030654.1)". The record is from RNAcentral. Lineage: Eukaryota; Metazoa; Chordata; Mammalia; Diprotodontia; Phascolarctidae.
AUUUGAUUGGGAUUCCAGAUUAUCCCAACCUCUUCAAGCAAUAAGAGAAGAUAUUUUCUGAGUGUUAGGGGCUUCCACUGGCCUCUGAAAUCAAACCAACUAGGUGAUGGCCCACUGUAUUUAUGUGUAAUUCUACUCCCCUUCAUGGAGACCACUGACUCAAACCGGGUCCAAAUCAAUGGCAGCAGGCAUAGUGGCUGCCUGCUCUCUCUUUGGUCUUAUUGUAGUUGAGGGGGUGAUUUAUUUCAUUUCCUAUUUCUUGUGCAAGGAUGCCCAAGUCACAAACUCCCCAUGGUCAGUUCUGUCACUAAUUAACACCCCUGUUGGAACUCAGACACAAAGGACUGAAUAGCACAAGGAGAAAAGCCUCACCCUCCUGAGUGGUCCUUUUACAGAAAUGUUGACACAUCCUGGGGAGUAAGAUAAAAGAGAUUUGGAAUAGAACUCUUUAAGCCAUGUCCCUCUGCUGGAGAUUAAUAGGGUAAGUAUUUAAAUUCACUGGAAUUUUUUUUAGCCUAUCUAGAAAGCUGGGUAUGGAAUGUAACAUGAACUUACAGAUACAAUUCCAAGGACAGCCUGUCUGCUCAAGUGUCAUGCUUUUGAUUUACAGUUGCAGUAGCAGGAGCUGCAUGAAUUUCAAAUGAUGUGAUCAUAUUCUAUCAAUUCCUUGGGCUCCAGCAAGAGUGAAUCCUGGGUAGAGCAUUUGCAGUGUCUUACAAUGAUGAAUACACCAGGUUGUGAGAGAUGUUGAGUGUCACACUAAGGUCUUCUGACCUGUCAUCCUGCCCUCAAUCAACUAUAAUCACCUCUACCAUGAUAGAUGUUAUGAUGGAGAAGAUCCAGCAGAGAGACCAAAAUGAAAACAGAGUUCCUGUGGAUAUGAAGGUCUUCCAGAUGCUCCUGAUUUUGGAUGACACGAUGCUGGUUGCACCAAGUCCCAGAACAUUGUAGACACUCCUGGAAGAGAUCAGUAACCACUGAAAAAAAAAUUUGCCCUGAAAAUCCACAUGGGAAAGACCUUGUGGGUGAAGAAUGAAAGUACUGCUCAGCUUAUGAUAUGCAUUUAAAUAGACAACCUAUGAAGCUAGUCCAUCAAUAUGCAUAUUUAGUACAAAAAAAAAUUGGUUGAGCCCGGAAUUUAACAAGAGAAGAAAGAACUGGAUUGCCUUAAAGAGAUACAAAAUUCCUUUAAUGAGCUUUUCCUAGAAGAGAAAAAGACUCUCUCUCUGUCUAUACACACACACACACACACACACACACACACAUAUAUUAUUACCAACAUUUUGCCAGUAUUGUUGAAUGGCUUCAGGACAUGGGACAAAAACAUCUCCAAAAAAAUUGAAAAUGAAAAUCACACUCAGAGCAAUGAAGAGAUAGAUGAUGGGUGGGAGCAGGCCAUAACAUACAACCCAAUGAAGAACUUCAAAGAACAAAAGUAAAAUGUCAUCAAGGGAACGUAUAAUAGGAAAAGAAAGAUGGGCUAGUCAAAUGGAAGGGUAAGGAAUAAUAGUUGGACAGUCAGUGCUCUGCUAGUAUCCUCAUGAUGUCAGGAGAAAGUGAGAAAUGCCCCCAUCAUGUUGGAUGGAUCCUCAGUGAUAGAUUUAUGGAGGAGAUGAACAAGAAAAACACAGGAUGAGCAGGCAUGGAUUGGUUGAAAUCUGCAUUGUUGGAAAGAACAUCCAAAUUGUUGAGAUCAUAGAUCCAUUUGAGUAUUUUAGCGCUGAAUCAUUAUCUAUAUGAUUCUCUUGAUUCUUCAUUCAUUUUGGAUGAGUUCACAUAAGUCUUCACAUGUUUUUUCUAAACUCCUUAUAUUCACCAUUUCUUUUAGCACAAUAAUAUUCCAUUAAAACCGUGUCCCGCAAUGUAUUCAGACAUUUAUUCUCCAGUUGAUGAGCACUCAGACUUUUGUUCCUACAAAACAUGUUGCAUUAAUUAUUUUGCUGUAGAAGAG